AUUGAACGCUGGCGGCAUGCCUUACACAUGCAAGUCGAACGGUAACGCGCCAUCGGGUGGCGAUGAGUGGCGGACGGGUGAGUAAUACAUCGGAACGUGCCCGAUCCUGGGGGUUAACGGGGCGAAAGGUAUGCUAAUAUAGCAUACGAUCUACGGCUGCAAGCAGGGGAAAGCAAGGGCUUGCGCGGACUGAGCGGCCGAUGGCAGAUUAGGUAGUUGGUGGGAUAAGGGGUUACCAAGCCGACGAUCUGUAGCUGGUCUGAGAGGAUGAUCAGCCACACUGGGACUGAGACACGGACCAGACUCCUACGGGAGGCAGCAGUGGGGAAUUUUGGACAAUGGGCGCAAGCCUGAUCCAGCCAUGCCGCGUGGAGGAUGAAGGCCUUCGGGUUGUAAACUGCUUUUGUACGGAACGAAAAGCCGUCUGUUAAUACAGGGGGGUCAUGACGGUACCGGAAGAAUAAGCACCGGCUAACUACGUG
Molecule: ribosomal RNA, 482 nt
Filed under: uncultured bacterium
Lineage: Bacteria
Description: partial 16S ribosomal RNA
Rfam family: Bacterial small subunit ribosomal RNA
Source: RNAcentral